GUCUUCAUAGCUCAGUGGUUUAGAGCGUGCGAUUGCAAAUCGCGAGGUCCCGUGUUCGAUCCACGGUGAGGACU
Molecule: transfer RNA, 74 nt
Filed under: Ephemerocybe angulata
Lineage: Eukaryota; Fungi; Basidiomycota; Agaricomycetes; Agaricales; Psathyrellaceae
Description: Coprinellus angulatus tRNA
Rfam family: tRNA
About the family: Transfer RNA (tRNA) molecules are approximately 80 nucleotides in length. Their secondary structure includes four short double-helical elements and three loops (D, anti-codon, and T loops). Further hydrogen bonds mediate the characteristic L-shaped molecular structure. tRNAs have two regions of fundamental functional importance: the anti-codon, which is responsible for specific mRNA codon recognition, and the 3' end, to which the tRNAs corresponding amino acid is attached (by aminoacyl-tRNA synthetases). tRNAs cope with the degeneracy of the genetic code in two manners: having more than one tRNA (with a specific anti-codon) for a particular amino acid; and 'wobble' base-pairing, i.e. permitting non-standard base-pairing at the 3rd anti-codon position.
Source: Rfam by way of RNAcentral